GACGAACGCUGGCGGCGUGCCUAAUACAUGCAAGUCGAGCGGGGAUUAUGCUUGAUCGCUUCGGUGAGACGGCAUAUAUCCUAGCGGCGGACGGGUGAGUAACGCGUGGGUAAUCUACCUCGUAGUUCGGGAUAACAGGCCGAAAGGCUUGCUAAUACCGGAUGAGUUCAUGCUUAUGCAUAUAGGCAUGAAGAAAGGGCUAGCCCGCUAUGAGAUGAGCCCGCGUCCCAUUAGCUUGUUGGUGGGGUAAUGGCCUACCAAGGCAACGAUGGGUAGCCGGCCUGAGAGGGUGUACGGCCACACUGGGACUGAGACACGGCCCAGACUCCUACGGGGGCAGCAGUAGGGAAUUUCGGCAAUGGGCGAAAGCCUGACCGAGCGACGCCGCGUGAGGGACGAAGGCCUUCGGGUUGUAAACCUCUGUCUGGGGGAUGAGACGGACGGUACCCCGGAGGAAGCCCGGCUAACUACGUGCCAGCCGCCGCGGUAAACCACGAGAGUA
RNAcentral lists this ribosomal RNA (502 nucleotides) under uncultured bacterium. RNAcentral describes it as "bacterial SSU rRNA". It matches the Rfam family "Bacterial small subunit ribosomal RNA", at positions 28 to 536 of the family's 1533-position model. The record is from RNAcentral.